AGCGCAUACGGUGGAUGCCUUGGCAGUCAGAGGCGAUGAAAGACGUGGUAGCCUGCGAAAAGCUUCGGGGAGUCGGCAAACAGACUUUGAUCCGGAGAUCUCUGAAUGGGGGAACCCACCUAGGAUAACCUAGGUAUCUUGUACUGAAUCCAUAGGUGCAAGAGGCGAACCAGGGGAACUGAAACAUCUAAGUACCCUGAGGAAAAGAAAUCAACCGAGAUUCCCUUAGUAGUGGCGAGCGAACGGGGAUUAGCCCUUAAGCUUCAUUGAUUUUAGCGGAACGCUCUGGAAAGUGCGGCCAUAGUGGGUGAUAGCCCCGUACGCGAAAGGAUCUUUGAAGUGAAAUCGAGUAGGACGGAGCACGAGAAACUUUGUCUGAACAUGGGGGGACCAUCCUCCAAGGCUAAAUACUACUGACUGACCGAUAGUGAACCAGUACCGUGAGGGAAAGGCGAAAAGAACCCCGGAGAGGGGAGUGAAAUAGAACCUGAAACCGUAUGCGUACAAGCAGUGGGAGCCUACUUGUUAGGUGACUGCGUACCUUUUGUAUAAUGGGUCAGCGACUUAUAUUCAGUGGCAAGCUUAACCGUAUAGGGUAGGCGUAGCGAAAGCGAGUCUUAAUAGGGCGUUUAGUCGCUGGGUAUAGACCCGAAACCGGGCGAUCUAUCCAUGAGCAGGUUGAAGGUUAGGUAACACUGACUGGAGGACCGAACCCACUCCCGUUGAAAAGGUAGGGGAUGACUUGUGGAUCGGAGUGAAAGGCUAAUCAAGCUCGGAGAUAGCUGGUUCUCCUCGAAAGCUAUUUAGGUAGCGCCUCAUGUAUCACUCUGGGGGGUAGAGCACUGUUUCGGCUAGGGGGUCAUCCCGACUUACCAAACCGAUGCAAACUCCGAAUACCCAGAAGUGCCGAGCAUGGGAGACACACGGCGGGUGCUAACGUCCGUCGUGAAAAGGGAAACAACCCAGACCGCCAGCUAAGGUCCCAAAGUUGUGGUUAAGUGGUAAACGAUGUGGGAAGGCUUAGACAGCUAGGAGGUUGGCUUAGAAGCAGCCAUCCUUUAAAGAAAGCGUAAUAGCUCACUAGUCGAGUCGGCCUGCGCGGAAGAUGUAACGGGGCUCAAACCACACACCGAAGCUGCGGGUGUCACGUAAGUGACGCGGUAGAGGAGCGUUCUGUAAGCCUGUGAAGGUGAGUUGAGAAGCUUGCUGGAGGUAUCAGAAGUGCGAAUGCUGACAUGAGUAACGACAAUGGGUGUGAAAAACACCCACGCCGAAAGACCAAGGGUUCCUGCGCAACGUUAAUCGACGCAGGGUUAGUCGGUUCCUAAGGCGAGGCUGAAAAGCGUAGUCGAUGGGAAACAGGUUAAUAUUCCUGUACUUCUGGUUACUGCGAUGGAGGGACGGAGAAGGCUAGGCCAGCUUGGCGUUGGUUGUCCAAGUUUAAGGUGGUAGGCUGAAAUCUUAGGUAAAUCCGGGGUUUCAAGGCCGAGAGCUGAUGACGAGUCGUCUUUUAGAUGACGAAGUGGUUGAUGCCAUGCUUCCAAGAAAAGCUUCUAAGCUUCAGGUAACCAGGAACCGUACCCCAAACCGACACAGGUGGUCGGGUAGAGAAUACCAAGGCGCUUGAGAGAACUCGGGUGAAGGAACUAGGCAAAAUGGCACCGUAACUUCGGGAGAAGGUGCGCCGGCUAGGGUGAAGGAUUUACUCCGUAAGCUCUGGCUGGUCGAAGAUACCAGGCCGCUGCGACUGUUUAUUAAAAACACAGCACUCUGCAAACACGAAAGUGGACGUAUAGGGUGUGACGCCUGCCCGGUGCCGGAAGGUUAAUUGAUGGGGUUAGCGCAAGCGAAGCUCUUGAUCGAAGCCCCGGUAAACGGCGGCCGUAACUAUAACGGUCCUAAGGUAGCGAAAUUCCUUGUCGGGUAAGUUCCGACCUGCACGAAUGGCGUAACGAUGGCGGCGCUGUCUCCACCCGAGACUCAGUGAAAUUGAAAUCGCUGUGAAGAUGCAGUGUAUCCGCGGCUAGACGGAAAGACCCCGUGAACCUUUACUGUAGCUUUGCACUGGACUUUGAGCCUGCUUGUGUAGGAUAGGUGGGAGGCUUUGAAGCGUGGACGCCAGUUCGCGUGGAGCCAUCCUUGAAAUACCACCCUGGCAUGCUUGAGGUUCUAACUCUGGUCCGUAAUCCGGAUCGAGGACAGUGUAU
This 2207-nucleotide ribosomal RNA is filed under the name Pseudomonas aeruginosa. RNAcentral's name for it is "bacterial LSU rRNA". It matches the Rfam family "Bacterial large subunit ribosomal RNA", at positions 14 to 2259 of the family's 2925-position model. The record is from RNAcentral. Lineage: Bacteria; Pseudomonadati; Pseudomonadota; Gammaproteobacteria; Pseudomonadales; Pseudomonadaceae.